AGCUCCAAUAGCGUAUAUUAAAGUUGUUGCAGUUAAAAAGCUCGUAGUUGGAUUUCUGUCCGGAGAGACCGGUCGGCGCCCUUUGGGCGUGUGCACUGUUGUCUGCUCCGGACAUCCUUGCGGAGAGUGCGUGUGCCCUUAAUUGGGUGUGCGUAGGAUCCGCAACGUUUACUGUGAAAAAAUUAGAGUGUUUAAAGCAGGCGAUCGCUGUGAAUACAUUAGCAUGGAAUAAUGAGAUAGGACUUUGGUACUAUUUUGUUGGUUUGCGCACCAAGGUAAUGAUUAAUAGGGAUAGUUGGGGGUAUUCAUAUUCAAUUGUCAGAGGUGAAAUUCUUGGAUUUAUGGAAGAUGAACUUAUGCGAAAGCAUUUACCAAGGAUGUUUUCA
RNAcentral lists this ribosomal RNA (386 nucleotides) under uncultured eukaryote. Its description in RNAcentral is "SSU rRNA". It matches the Rfam family "Eukaryotic small subunit ribosomal RNA", at positions 587 to 972 of the family's 1831-position model. The record is from RNAcentral.